Pongo pygmaeus (Bornean orangutan) is the source of this 1876-nucleotide long non-coding RNA. RefSeq lists it as uncharacterized. The transcript has 4 exons. NCBI's taxonomy places the organism in Eukaryota, Metazoa, Chordata, Mammalia, Primates, Hominidae. The record is from RefSeq and is a predicted model, not a curated record.
GACGCGGUGGCUCACGCCUGUAAUCCUAGCACUUUGGGAGGCCGAGGCGGGCGCGUCAUUUGAGGUCAGGAGUUUGAGACCAGCCUGGCCAGCAUGGUGAAACUCUGUCUCUAUUAAAAAUACAAAAAUUAGUCGGAAAUCGCUGGAACCCGGGAAGCGGAGGUUGCAGUGAGCCGAGAUCGUGCCACUGCACUCCAGCCUGGGAAACAGAGCGAGACUCCGUCUAAAAAAAAAAAAAAAAAAAUUAGUUGGGCAUAGUGGCCUGUGCCUGUAGUCCUAGCUACUCGCGAGGCUAAGAGGGGCGUAUGGGUUGAGCCUAGAUGGAGCCAGUGCACUGCAGCCUGGGUGACAGAGGGAGAUUCUGUUUCUAAAAAACAUUAAAAAGAGUAACAGGAAGUUUCACCUGGGCCGGGGUUGGAAUGUUUAUCUAGUUUAGCAGCGAAGUUCUAAGAUAAGGUCUGAAAUACAAUUUACAUCUUGUAAAGACUCCACUCCCCUCGCCCAAGCACUAGUUGUAAAAGUUGAUUUGAUCACAAAGUGACCCUGCGUGGUUGUUUUGGGAGCGCAGAGGCUGGAAGCGAAGGAGGUGGGGGCGUUUCGAGAGCUGUGGACCAGGUGACUGCUGAGAAGGAGACAGUAAGCCGGGGACACAACUGAGGAAGAGCUCUCCAGGGAUUAGGAAAGGCUACGUCCUUGUCACUGCUGUGUGUCCCCAGAUGGACAACUCCUCAAUUGUCUGGAGGUCGGGGGCGUGUUGGACAGUCCUGGUCGCUGAGUCAUGCUGAAACACUCUCGUUUUGACUCACUCUUUGUGACGUAGGUCUUUCUCGCCAGUCAAGAAAAUAUAAUCCGAAAGCAAUCUCCGGGCUGGCUUUAGCUCAGCGGUUACUUCGACCAUUCUUUGAUUGCAACAACAACCUCUCUCGGUUGUUCGAGACCCGGGGGCGCUCUCCAGUCCUUUUACCUCUCUGGGCGGUUCGAGACCCGCGGGAGCUCUCUGGGCGGUUCGAGACCCGCGGGAGCUCUCCAGUCCUUUCACCUCUCUGGGUGGUUCGAGACCCGCGGGCGCUCUCCAGUCCUUUUCACUGCUGAAGUUCAGCUCCCUUUCCAUGGUAAAAGGAACCAGGGCUCCUUGGAGAAACGGCUGAUUUUAGUACUGGGCAGGAAAUGUAGAAAUGAACGUGGAGCAUCUCGUAGAGCUAGAAAGUACGAACCAGGCCCGACCCUACUUAGCUUCCGAGAUCAGACGAGACCAGGCAUGUUCAGGAUGAUGGAGUUUUGCUGUUGUUGCCCAGGCUGGAGUGCAGUGGUGGGAUCUCGGCUCACUGCAACCUCUGCCUCCAGGGUUCAAGUGAUUCUCCUGCCUCAGCCUCCUGAGUAGCUGGGAUUACAGACUUGGAACUGAAGAAGCUGGCAAUCUGGAAAUGCCAAUGGAUGCAGAUUUUAAAAGCCCCAGCAAAAGUCUGCUUUCUCUAUUCAUUAGGACCAGGAUCAGGAAGAGGACAGCUUAGCAAGACAUAAAAUUCUUAGACAAUAACUGUUCUACCCCAGCCAAACACCAAACACACACACACACACACACACACACACACUCCAACAACUAUGGCCCCACCCAUUUCAGCAAAGGCUGAGUAGGAGCCUAGACUUCCACCAUUGAGCAGCUAUAAGAAGUUACCCCAAGACCCCACCAAUGUGGUGUUAAAGAAGGCCAAAUAGGGGACAAGAUUUUUAUCCAUGCUGACCAGUUAUGAGGUUCCCCCUUUCCCCUGUGAAAUAAAAAUAAAGCCCAUAGAUCCCCAGGCAAGAUGAAAUGGACUCCUUGUUGCAAAAGAGACCCCAGAAAACUUUAAAAGCUGGAUUCUAUGGCUUUGGCAAG